This 497-nucleotide ribosomal RNA is filed under the name uncultured bacterium. Its description in RNAcentral is "partial 16S ribosomal RNA". It matches the Rfam family "Bacterial small subunit ribosomal RNA", at positions 28 to 507 of the family's 1533-position model. The record is from RNAcentral.
GAUGAACGCUGGCGGCGUGCCUAAUACAUGCAAGUCGAGCGAACGGACGAGAAGCUUGCUUCUCUGAUGUUAGCGGCGGACGGGUGAGUAACACGUGGAUAACCUACCUAUAAGACUGGGAUAACUUCGGGAAACCGGAGCUAAUACCGGAUAAUAUUUUGAACCUCAUUGCUCAAAAGUGAAAGACGGUCUUUCUGUCACUUAUAGAUGGAUCCGCGCUGCAUUAGCUAGUUGGUAAGGUAACGGCUUACCAAGGCAACGAUGCAUAGCCGACCUGAGAGGGUGAUCGGCCACACUGGAACUGAGACACGGCACAGACUCCUACGGGAGGACGCAGUAGGGAAUCUUCCGCAAUGGGCGAAAGCCUGACGGAGCAACGCCGCGUGAGUGAUGAAGGUCUUCGGAUCGUAAAACUCUGUUAUUAGGGAAGAACAUAUGUGUAAGUAACUGUGCACAUCUUGACGGUACCUAAUCAGAAAGCCACGGCUAACUACGUG